This 420-nucleotide ribosomal RNA is filed under the name uncultured Glutamicibacter sp. Its description in RNAcentral is "bacterial SSU rRNA". It matches the Rfam family "Bacterial small subunit ribosomal RNA", at positions 358 to 790 of the family's 1533-position model. The record is from RNAcentral. Lineage: Bacteria; Bacillati; Actinomycetota; Actinomycetes; Micrococcales; Micrococcaceae.
GGAAUAUUGCACAAUGGGCGAAAGCCUGAUGCAGCGACGCCGCGUGAGGGAUGACGGCCUUCGGGUUGUAAACCUCUUUCAGUAGGGAAGAAGCGAAAGUGACGGUACCUGCAGAAGAAGCGCCGGCUAACUACGUGCCAGCAGCCGCGGUAAUACGUAGGGCGCAAGCGUUAUCCGGAUUUAUUGGGCGUAAAGAGCUCGUAGGCGGUUUGUCGCGUCUGCCGUGAAAGUCCGAGGCUCAACCUCGGAUCUGCGGUGGGUACGGGCAGACUAGAGUGAUGUAGGGGAGACUGGAAUUCCUGGUGUAGCGGUGAAAUGCGCAGAUAUCAGGAGGAACACCGAUGGCGAAGGCAGGUCUCUGGGCAUUUACUGACGCUGAGGAGCGAAAGCAUGGGGAGCGAACAGGAUUAGAUACCCUGG